ACGGGUGAGUAACGCGUGGAUAAUCUGCCUUCGAGUGGGGGAUAACUAGUCGAAAGAUUAGCUAAUACCGCAUAAGACCACAGGAUCUGAGGAUCUAGGGGUUAAAGGUUUUUCGCUUGAAGAUGAGUCCGCGUGAGAUUAGCUAGUUGGUGAGGUAAUGGCUCACCAAGGCGACGAUCUCUAACUGGUCUGAGAGGAUGAUCAGUCACACUGGAACUGAGACACGGUCCAGACUCCUACGGGAGGCAGCAGUAGGGAAUAUUGCACAAUGGAGGAAACUCUGAUGCAGCGACGCCGCGUGAGUGAUGAAGGCCUUCGGGUCGUAAAGCCCUGUCGCAGGGGAAUAACACAAUGAAUGUACCCUGUAAGAAAGGAUCGGCUAACUUCGUGCCAGCAGCCGCGGUAAGACGAGGGAUCCUAGCGUUGUUCGGAAUCAUUGGGCGUAAAGCGGGUGUAGGUGGCUUUGUAAGUCAGGUGUGAAGGCCCAGGGCUCAACCCUGGAAGUGCAUUUGAUACUGCGAAGCUUGAGUGUAGGAGAGGUUACUAGAAUUCUUGGUGUAGUGGUGAAAUACGUAGA
This 577-nucleotide ribosomal RNA is filed under the name uncultured bacterium. RNAcentral's name for it is "bacterial SSU rRNA". It matches the Rfam family "Bacterial small subunit ribosomal RNA", at positions 102 to 694 of the family's 1533-position model. The record is from RNAcentral.